Molecule: long non-coding RNA, 1531 nt
Filed under: Gallus gallus (chicken)
Lineage: Eukaryota; Metazoa; Chordata; Aves; Galliformes; Phasianidae
Description: lncRNA (ENSGALG00010007807.1)
Source: RNAcentral
CCAAAAUAACAAGUCACAGGAUGCCUGUCUAGAGGGUAGCUUUGCUGAAAAUAACCUGGAGACUGAACAGAAGUCAGCAGUGUGUCCUUGUGCAUUAGAAGAUAACUCUGUGCUGAGCCAAGGGCAUGCUGGACAUUAAUGAUUCUUCCUCAUUGUUCAGUUAUUGUGAGAGCAUUAUCUGGAGAACUCUGUGAAGUGUUAGUUCCCCAGUACAAGAAAGUCAUUGACAUGCUGGAGCAAGCUGGUGCAAGGAAGAUGGUCAAACAGAGGAAAACUCACCCAGGAAGGAGGCUCUGCCCUUCAAGAUAUUCAGUACAUAAUUGGGAGGGCUUAUGCUUAAAACCAUUGGAUGCUGCACUGGAUUUCAAGAUUCUCCUCUUCAAGAUCACCUACUUUGCACAGCCUUAUUCUGUAAAAAGAAAAAGAGAGCAAGAGACAGAGAGGAAUGUGCCCAGGACUCUGUGGUACCCAGGUCAGACAAGCCCAAAAAUCUCUUCCCGGGCUCUGCUCCAAUGAAUAUUUAAUCAUUCUAUGCAGAGUGUGAAAGAUGGCACGAGAAAGAUUUAGGCUUCCAGCCUAGAAAAAUCUGGCACCUUCUUAUAAUGUGGUAAAUACUGGGCAAUGAAAGGCUUUGAAGCCAGGUCUCCUCUCUCCCAGAGGUGUGUUUCAAUUGCAAGGCUCCUGAAGAAAAGCAGAGUUCCUCUUCUUUGCCUUCGUCAUCCUGUAGAGAGAAAAUAAAGAGGCUAAGUUUGCCUCACUGGAGCCAGAGAACAAGCUAAGUGUUCUUCUGUCUAUCCUGUGAAUCCUGAUGGGAUUUUAGCUAGAACUGAAAAUCCCCAGAGUUCAGGCUCUCGGGAUAUGUGCUGAGCAAAAUAUUACGGUGCUUAUGGUGCUUAAGUCACAGCUUACAGUGACUAAAGACUUAACCUGUGGAAACUUUGGAGUACUUUGAUAUGAUAUUUGCUAACUGUAUCAACUCUGUUGUUUGGAGGAAAUACCUUUUUGUACACUCCCAGUGGAACACUAACAAACUUUGAUCCUUCUGCAACUUUCUGUUUAUGGCAUAUUCAGGUAAUUCAAUUUCUGCUCAUUUUCUGUUCAUUCAUUCAAAAAAAAAAAAAAAAGUCUGUUAAAAUUCUUUUUGCUGACUAAUUACUAGAUCAAAGAAGGCCUGUUUACAAAAUGGAAAGCUUCCCAAAAAACAUUUUUGUUAGGGUUAAUGCAUGUAUGCAUUUUGAACAAAUAAUUUUAAAUUUUGGACAGCAUACUCAGAUUUUUGUUGUCCCAUUUUGUAAUAGAAUUUGAUUAAUUGUCUAAGAUAGUAUUUUUCUAAAUUAAGUAGAUUUUUUGUAGAAUCAUAUUGUUAAAACUGGGGAAAAGACUAAAAUUUGCAUCUUUUUUUUUUUUUUUUUUUUUUACCUAAACACAACAGGUGACUGUGAGAAUGCAAAGGGAGUUAAUAGGCAUGCAUAUUCAUGUUUUAGCUUUUUGAAAAAUAAGGUAUUGUUGUUAUACUCUGAAGUUUGGUGGC